This 72-nucleotide transfer RNA is filed under the name Camelus bactrianus (Bactrian camel). It matches the Rfam family "tRNA". From Rfam's summary of the family: Transfer RNA (tRNA) molecules are approximately 80 nucleotides in length. RNAcentral also lists the same sequence under 1 other name. The record is from Rfam by way of RNAcentral. Lineage: Eukaryota; Metazoa; Chordata; Mammalia; Artiodactyla; Camelidae.
GUAGGUAUAGCUCAGUGGUGGGGUGCAUGCCUAGCAUGCAUGAGGUUAUGGGUUCAAUCCCCAGUACCUCCA